RNAcentral lists this ribosomal RNA (294 nucleotides) under uncultured bacterium. RNAcentral's name for it is "partial 16S ribosomal RNA". It matches the Rfam family "Bacterial small subunit ribosomal RNA", at positions 775 to 1067 of the family's 1533-position model. The record is from RNAcentral.
GGAUUAGAUACCCUGGUAGUCCACGCCGUAAACGAUGGAUACCAGCUGUAUGUCCAUGAAACGGGGCAUGUGGUGCAGCUAACGCGAUGAGUAUCCCGCCUGGGGAGUACGGUCGCAAGACUAAAACUCAAAGGAAUUGACGGGGGCCCGCACAAGCGGUGGAGCAUGUGGUUUAAUUCGAUGCAACGCGAAGAACCUUACCUGGGUUUGACAUCCUCUGCUAUGUUUAGAGAUAGACAGUUCUUUUCGGAGACAGAGAGACAGGUGCUGCAUGGCGGUCGUCAGCUCGUGCUG